RNAcentral lists this transfer RNA (73 nucleotides) under Cordylochernes scorpioides. RNAcentral's name for it is "tRNA-Thr". The record is from RNAcentral. Lineage: Eukaryota; Metazoa; Arthropoda; Arachnida; Pseudoscorpiones; Chernetidae.
GUCCAGGGGUGGGAAUCGAACCCACAGUGUUCCGCUUACCGGGCAGGUGCCAUGUCCACUAGGCUACCCUGGA